AUUUAAAAGAAGAAAAACUACCACAACAAGAGGACAUAGUCUUAAAUUAGAGGGACAAAGGUUUAAAAAUAAUAUCAGGAAGUAUUACUUUACUGAGAGGGUAGUGGAUGCAUGGAAUAGCCUUCCAGCUGAAGUGGUAGAGGUUAACACAGUAAAGGAGUUUAAGCAUGCGUGAGAUAGGCAUAAGGCUAUCCUAACUAUAAGAUAAGGCCAGGGACUAAUGAAAGUAUUUAGAAAAUUGGGCAGACUAGAUGGGCCGAAUGGUUCUUAU
Pelobates cultripes (western spadefoot toad) is the source of this 271-nucleotide non-coding RNA. The record is from the annotation of a GenBank genome assembly. Lineage: Eukaryota; Metazoa; Chordata; Amphibia; Anura; Pelobatidae.